Molecule: long non-coding RNA, 370 nt
Organism: Sphaerodactylus townsendi
Lineage: Eukaryota; Metazoa; Chordata; Lepidosauria; Squamata; Sphaerodactylidae
Exons: 3
Source: RefSeq, a predicted model, not a curated record
AACCAGACAGGGAAGCUAUAGAAGAAAAUAUAACACAAGAGGAAAUAUUAAAGGUUAUUAGAGAAUUAAAAAAUAAUAAAUCCCCCGGAACAGAUGGGUUUACAGCGGAAUAUUAUAAAGAAAUGGCGGAAAUUUUAGUUCCAGAACUUCAAAAUUUAUUUAAUACAAUAAUAAGUGGCCAGAGAGCCCCAGAUACAUGGAGAGAGACGGAGAUAGUGACAAUCCUGAAACCAGGAAAAAAUGCAACUUCAGUAGAAUCUUAUAGACCAAUAAGCUUAUUAAAUCAAGAUUAUAAGAUAUUUGCAAAAAUAUUAUCAAAUAGGAUUAGAAAUAUACUUCCUAAAAUAAUAGAACAAGACCAAUAUGGGUU